RNAcentral lists this transfer RNA (73 nucleotides) under Hungatella hathewayi. RNAcentral describes it as "tRNA-Lys". It matches the Rfam family "tRNA". From Rfam's summary of the family: Transfer RNA (tRNA) molecules are approximately 80 nucleotides in length. Lineage: Bacteria; Bacillati; Bacillota; Clostridia; Lachnospirales; Lachnospiraceae. RNAcentral also lists the same sequence under 1 other name. The record is from RNAcentral.
GCGUCUGUAGCUUAGCUGGUAGAGCAGGUGGCUCUUAACCAUCAGGUCCAGGGUUCAAGUCCCUGCAGGCGCA